RNAcentral lists this ribosomal RNA (439 nucleotides) under uncultured bacterium. Its description in RNAcentral is "partial 16S ribosomal RNA". It matches the Rfam family "Bacterial small subunit ribosomal RNA", at positions 338 to 795 of the family's 1533-position model. The record is from RNAcentral.
CCUACGGGAGGCAGCAGUGGGGAAGAUUGCACAAUGGGGGAAACCCUGAUGCAGCGACGCCGCGUGAGUGAAGAAGGAUGUCGGUAGGUAAAGCUCUAUCAGCAGGGAAGAAAAUGACGGUACCUGAUUAAGAAGCCCCGGCUAACUACGUGCCAGCAGCCGCGGUAAUACGUAGGGGGCAAGCGUUAUCCGGAUUUACUGGGUUUAAAGGGUGCGCAGGCGGCCUGUUAAGUCAGCGGUAAAAGCCCGGGGCUCAACCCCGGCGAGCCGUUGAAACUGGCGGGCUGGAGUUGGGGCGCGGUACGCGGAAUGCGCGGUGUAGCGGUGAAAUGCUUAGAUAUCGCGCAGAACCCCGAUUGCGAAGGCAGCGUACCGGCUCCACACUGACGCUGAGGCACGAAAGCGUGGGUAUCGAACAGGAUUAGAUACCCCAGUAGUC